GCUGCAACUCGCCUGCAUGAAGUCGGAAUCGCUAGUAAUCGCGGAUCAGCACGCCGCGGUGAAUACGUUCCCGGGCCUUGUACACACCGCCCGUCACACCACGGAAGUUGGGAGUACCCAAAGUAGGUUGCCUAACCGCAAGGAGGGCGCUUCCUAAGGUAAGACCGAUGACUGGGGUGAAGUCGUAACAAGGUACC
This 197-nucleotide ribosomal RNA is filed under the name uncultured bacterium. RNAcentral's name for it is "partial 16S ribosomal RNA". It matches the Rfam family "Bacterial small subunit ribosomal RNA", at positions 1304 to 1500 of the family's 1533-position model. The record is from RNAcentral.